AUCCCUGUAGCACAAUGAAUAGCAUGUUGGACUUCUAAUCCAAAGGUCAUGGGUUCGAAUCCCACCUGGGAUG
RNAcentral lists this transfer RNA (73 nucleotides) under Trichonephila clavata. It matches the Rfam family "tRNA". From Rfam's summary of the family: Transfer RNA (tRNA) molecules are approximately 80 nucleotides in length. The record is from Rfam by way of RNAcentral. Lineage: Eukaryota; Metazoa; Arthropoda; Arachnida; Araneae; Nephilidae.